Molecule: ribosomal RNA, 519 nt
Filed under: uncultured eukaryote
Lineage: Eukaryota
Description: SSU rRNA
Rfam family: Eukaryotic small subunit ribosomal RNA
Source: RNAcentral
AGGGCACCACCAGGAGUGGAGCCUGCGGCUUAAUUUGACUCAACACGGGGAAACUCACCCGGCCUGGACACAAUAAGGAUUGACAGAUUGAUAGCUCUUUCUUGAUUUUGUGGGUGGUGGUGCAUGGCCGUUCUUAGUUGGUGGAGCGAUUUGUCUGGUUAAUUCCGAUAACGAACGAGACUCUAGCCUAUUAAAUAGACGAUAUAUUAUUAGUUUAUCGAGCUUCUUAGAGGGACAGGCAGCUUCUAGCUGCACGAGAUUGAGCAAUAACAGGUCUGUGAUGCCCUUAGAUGUCCGGGGCUGCACGCGCGCUACAAUGAUAAUAGCAGCGUGCAUUAAAACCUUUUCUGGUAAGAAUUGGUAAACACGAAAUAUUGUCGUGCUUGGGAUAGGGGAUUGAAAUUAUUGCCCUUAAACGAGGAAUUCCCAGUAAGUGCGAGUCAUUAGCUUGCGUUGAUUACGUCCCUGCCCUUUGUACACACCGCCCGUCGCUACUACCGAUUGGAAGAUUUAGUGAAU